UUCUCCCUGUAUCGCUACUUUCCCCCUGCUGCACCUGUGAAUACCGACCAUUAACAUUGAAAUUCAUUCUUCUCCUUUUCUAAUAUCACCACCAUCGAAGUAUCUUUCUGUCUGUAGAACCCCCAAAGCAAAACCUAAUGGUCGUUGCAGCUGGUCCGAUCUCCUUGAUGUCUGUAAGAAGAGGAAAUCAAGAAAUUAUCAUGGGUUUUCAUUAUUGAGAGUUAAGAAGAGGAAUUUGAAAUUGAUUCUCAAAUUACAGCGAAGGAAUUAGAGGAUUAGGUUUCGUUUUACGUCUAAGAUUAAGAAGCUAAUUGAGAAAACUAGGGUUUUGUUUGUGCUACAAAUCGAAGAAUUAAACGGAGUCAAUAAACAGGUUUGUCUUAAUUAGGUUUAGAAUUGGUUUAUUAAUGGAUUCGAGUUAUAUGGAUUAGGGUUUAUAACAGAUUGGGGAUUUAGGGUUCAUGGAUUUGAAUUACAGAUGAAAAAGAUGAAACUGAUGGUGAGAAAUUAUAAGAAGAAAAUUGAGUUUGUGUCUGAGGUAAUCUUUCUUACGCAUUUGGAAUGAAUUUCUUUCAUGAACUUGUAUUAUCAAAUUUGGGUAUUGUUAUGUUCAAUUUUGAAUUGAAAAUUUGGUGGAAAUGGAGUUGAGUUUCUAGUGGUGUGUAGAUGAUUCUUAGUUUAAAUUGUCUAUUAUAGGAAAAAGUUUUUAGAGGAGGAUAAUUGUUGCAGGUGGUGGUGGUUUAAUGAGCUACAGAACUAUGAAGAUUGUGAUGGUGAUGGAAUUGAAAUAAUAGUUCGGUUGAUGUGGUCUUAAAUGAGCUACAAGAGUUGAUCUUAGUUUGGUUUAGAUUGUAAUGAUUUGAAUGGUGAUGGAUGAGUAUUGGUUGUGCUGAGAUGCUUUUGAUGAUGAUGCUAUGGUCAGUCAUAAUAGUUGUGACUGAAAGAUAUUGAAAUGAAUAAUGUUGCUGCUAUGAAGAUGGUGCUUUAAAUGUCUAUGUGGCUGAAUGAUAGUGAUGUGAAGGAAUGACGCUAAUCUGAAGAGAUUUGAAAUGUUCAUAAAUUUUAGGUCAAGAUCUUGAAACAUGAGUGGCCAGCUAGGUGGUGAAAUUUUAUUCGGGAUCUUGUUUCAGUAGCGAAGACAAGUGAAACAAUAUGUUAGAAUUUCAUGGCUGUAUUAAAGUGAGUUUCAACUUAUUUACGAGCUAUGCCUAUAUGUGCCAUCUGCAUCUCAAAGAACUGAGAUAUAAGAGCAACACUGGCUACGUUGCACGCCCCACUGGGUAUGGCAGCGUAUAGGAAUCUUACUCUCCAAUGUUUGUCUGAGGUAGCUGCCCUUCAGUUUAGAGACUUCUAUAACAUGAAGUAUGUGAAAAUGUACACUGUUUUCAUUUCACAAUUACAGCCUUGUAGGGAUGGAGGUUGAGACUAACAUAUUGAGUUUAAUGCUGGAGAUGAGGUGGUGGUGUUCAGUUCAUGUAGUAAACAUGCUUAUAUUUCCCAGCAACUGAAGACUGAGAGCAUCACUAGUCAGCUCUGCCUUCUUCACCAGGCUUAGCAGAAGCACAUGGUCUGCAUUUUGAAGCUAGGUCCAAGACCCAACUGUGGCUGGAGCAUCAAUAUAAGCCUUUCUUUCAAAUCUUAGAAAAGAUUUAAUGCUUCUUCCUCUUACCCAAAGAUCCCUCUAUUGUAGAGACACUACUUCCAAAACACAUAAGGUCUUAUUUUCGUAGUUGAAAGUAAUGACAGAGACCGUGUUAUUGAGGCAAGGGAUGAACUGCAGACGAAGUUUAGUGAGUUAGUGUUUUUAUCACCUUGCUUGGUGCUGACUUCAUGAGAAUGGAAUCUUUCGGCAAAGUUGAAGAGGUUGCGGAGACUCUGGUAAGUAGUAGUGAUUUUUUGCUUUAAAUGAAGUUUCCUCGCUCGUUUGAUAUUGGACUGUUGUUAUUCUUAUUUGAGAAGUCGAAAUCUAUUUGAUGAACAUGUUAGUAAACUAGAUAGAAGUUGGAAAAAGGGCAUUUGCAAGACUUGCCGCAUGCAAAAUUCUCAAACGUAGGUAGAAGAUAACGGAGAAGAACAUGAAGAGCAUGGAACCCAAGAAGAAGAGGCUGUUGAUGUCGAUGUUGAUUCUACAGAUGGCGCUAUUGUUACAAUUCUUUUUGACAAUGGCUACUCUCAUGGUGUACAUUGGUUUUGCAGGUCACAGAUAUGAGUAGUAAGUGCGCCUAUUUACAAGGUUGGUUAUGAAGCAACAAGAAGUUAUACUUGUUUGAGCAUGUAGGUAAUGAAUGUUGAGCUUGUCUCCAGUCUUGUGCCUUUAAGAUUGUAUCUACUACUGCUAUUACACUUCACAUUACAACUGCAACUGCAAAAUUUCUAUGUUAUGAAAACUUAGAAAAUGUUUACAUACUUGUCAUUUUAUUGAUACUACGCACAGAAUUUGUAUGUCCUUGGAACUUAAGAAAUAUUUCUAGCUACAGAUUGGAACUUAAGAAAUUUAUAUGU
Long non-coding RNA from Papaver somniferum (opium poppy), 2502 nucleotides. RefSeq lists it as uncharacterized. The record is from RefSeq and is a predicted model, not a curated record. The transcript is spliced from 10 exons. NCBI's taxonomy places the organism in Eukaryota, Viridiplantae, Streptophyta, Magnoliopsida, Ranunculales, Papaveraceae.